Long non-coding RNA from Frankliniella occidentalis (western flower thrips), 1363 nucleotides. RefSeq lists it as uncharacterized. The record is from RefSeq and is a predicted model, not a curated record. Lineage: Eukaryota; Metazoa; Arthropoda; Insecta; Thysanoptera; Thripidae. The transcript has 2 exons.
GAUAGCGACCUAGUCCGUCAUGGGGCAUGGGGCGGACUGAAAGUGACCUAGUUCGGUGAGGGCGGACUGUCCGCGGACUGGUCCGCUGAGGACGGACUGUCUGCGUACUGGUCCGGCAUCGCACUUGGCCGCUGCGACCUCAAAGCGGACUAGUCCGCACGCCCGGGGGUACUUAAAGCGGACUAGUCCAGUGCACGACGGAUCAAACGCGGACUGGUCUACAGGGGUGCGGACUCUUUCCGGAUAGAAAACGGACUAAUGGCGGACUAAAAUUUUUCGUACUGGCCAGUACUUCGUGAACACAGAGAGACCUGCGCGCUGUGAUGUUGGUACCACUACCGCGUCGCCUUCCUCGCCGCGCUGGCCGCCAUACUCAAUCUCCAGCCGCGUCCCUCUGCGUCAACAUCAACAAGUCUGUCCAUAUUUUAGUUAGUCAGUGCUAUUUCACAAAUUCAAGAUGCCCUUCAUGAAACCGAAGGAGUGGGCACGCAGGGAGAAGGUUGCCAAGGCCAUGAAAGAUAAGUGGUCUAGUGUUUGCGCGCCAGGAAAGCUAUCAGUGAGGAACUUGAACCUGUGAUGUGUGAGGCUGGGCGCUGUAUUAUAGACUUGACAUGUCAGUGUUCACGAGGGACUUGAGCCUUCGCUUUUGCUGAGAAAGAAAGAAGUAUUGGGCUGGCCUCGAAGUUCCUCGUCCGCUGUCAUCUGUGUUUGCUCGAUAAAGAAGUGUCAACAAGCGAACUUGCUACCCGCAGCACCCAAGAUGGUCGUCCUCUGUGUGCCAUAAAUCGGAUGUGUGGACUCAGGUGUUGGACACGACCAUUUUAACAAGCUUUUUUUAGCCAUUAACUUGCCUACAAUUACUGCCAAAACCAUCACCAGAGCAGAGAAGCGUAUGGGGCCCAUUAUUGUGGAGGUGGCACAGUAGUCAUACAGAGAAGCUAUCACUGUAAAAAAAAAAAUCUGGCCGAGCACUUAACGUCUAGUCCCCAGACCGAAGUUUUUUCGUUGCACUAUACCGUUUAGCGCUGGGAGCUAAACGGGUUUAGUGCACCGACCUUAGUCCCCGGAACUAUACACUAUAAUGUCAUCGAUAAAAAUGUUUGUUGCUGGAGUUAUAGUGAUAAUUUGUACUCAACUUUACACUGUUUUAGUGAUAGUAACUAGGGAACCUAUUGCUCAUGUCUAAGCUCCUAUUUUACGCUAGGCACAAAUAUAAUUUUCUCCCAGCAAUGAGCCUUAUUUUCCCUAGAGUUGUGCAUAACUUUUCCCCAGCUCUCCCAUGUGCCCAACCGAACUGUGUAAUUCACUGUAUUCUGCACCUACUAAUUGAACAUAUAAAUAUAAGGUUUUAAACUAGUAAGAA